UAGAGUUUGAUCCUGGCUCAGAUUGAACGCUGGCGGCAGGCCUAACACAUGCAAGUCGAACGGUAGCACAGAGGAGCUUGCUCCUCGGGUGACGAGUGGCGGACGGGUGAGUAAUGUCUGGGAAAUUGCCCGAUGGAGGGGGAUAAUUACUGGAAACGGUAGCUAAUACCGCAUAAUGUCGCAAGACCAAAGAGGGGGACCUUCGGGCCUCUUGCCAUCGGAUGUGCCCAGAUGGGAUUAGCUAGUAGGUGGGGUAACGGCUCACCUAGGCGACGAUCCCUAGCUGGUCUGAGAGGAUGACCAGCCACACUGGAACUGAGACACGGUCCAGACUCCUACGGGAGGCAGCAGUGGGGAAUAUUGCACAAUGGGCGCAAGCCUGAUGCAGCCAUGCCGCGUGUAUGAAGAAGGCCUUCGGGUUGUAAAGUACUUUCAGCGAGGAGGAAGGCAUUAAGGUUAAUAACCUUAGUGAUUGACGUUACUCGCAGAAGAAGCACCGGCUAACUCCGUGCCAGCAGCCGCGGUAAUACGGAGGGUGCAAGCGUUAAUCGGAAUUACUGGGCGUAAAGCGCACGCACGCGGUCUGUCAAGUCGGAUGUGAAAUCCCCGGGCUCAACCUGGGAACUGCAUUCGAAACUGGCAGCUAGAGUCUUGUAGAGGGGGGUAGAAUUCCAGGUGUAGCGGUGAAAUGCGUAGAGAUCUGGAGGAUACCGGUGGCGAAUGCGGCCCCCUGGACAGAGACUGACGCUCAGUGCGAAAGCGGUGGGGAGCAACAGAUUAGAUACCCUGUAGUCCACGCUGUAAACGAUGUCUAUUUGGAGUUGUGCCCUUGAGCGUGCUUUCGGAGCUACGCGUUAAAUAGACCGCCUGGGGAGUACGCCG
Molecule: ribosomal RNA, 882 nt
Filed under: Citrobacter sp. HPCMt3
Lineage: Bacteria; Pseudomonadati; Pseudomonadota; Gammaproteobacteria; Enterobacterales; Enterobacteriaceae
Description: bacterial SSU rRNA
Rfam family: Bacterial small subunit ribosomal RNA
Source: RNAcentral